Amphiprion ocellaris (clown anemonefish) is the source of this 2062-nucleotide long non-coding RNA. RefSeq lists it as uncharacterized. The transcript is spliced from 3 exons. NCBI's taxonomy places the organism in Eukaryota, Metazoa, Chordata, Actinopteri, Pomacentridae. The record is from RefSeq and is a predicted model, not a curated record.
UGUAUAUCUAUGGUCGGCACGUCAGGUAGCAUCUCUGGCUGCUGUUGAUCUUGUUUUUGGAGUAAAACACGGUGGAAGCUGAAUUAGUGAGGAUGACUCCUGCUCCUGUCAUCUCUAAGCUCCUCACACCUCUUUACCUGCACAUGAGGAAAAUCACUCCUGUAGAAUGCAGAUGUUCAGAGGGAGAUGAUGCCACAUCUGGUCCAGCUGAUGGAAGGUCUUGAAGUUCUCUGACUGGCCUCGACUGAAGAUGGUCGUCUCACUGGAUUUAAGGUUCAGAUGCUCAGUAACAAACUCCACCAAUGAGCCAACAGGGAAGCUUUAGGUUUAUUAAAUGUUGCUAUGAAGGUAUCGCUGUUUUUCUUAGUGAAUGCAAUGUGCUCCAACUGAAAGUUGAAUUAGAACUUAGCAGUAAAUCCUUCCAUUUGUAAGGAUUUAGUUACAUUAAUAACCUCACAAUGUUCUAAUUUUUAUUCCAGUCUUGGUUGAAAAUAGAAUCUCUGUAUUGAUUCAGGUAAAAACUGAACUUCCCAUCUAGUCCCAUCUAGUUUUUAUGAGGAAUGUGAUGUUUUAAUUUCUCUGUGAAUAACUGCAGUCUAAUGCAACAGCUGGAGUUGUAACAUCUGUCCUGAUAUUGAUCAUGAAGUAUUGAUCAGAAUACUUAUGGUUAGCAGUCAUCCCUGAAGUUUUACAUUAAAAUCUUUACUUGUGUUGUGAACUUUGGUAAGAAGCAGAAACGUUAGCGUUGCCAUGGAUACAUGAGUAUUAAAUUCUGUCCAUGUUUCCAUUUUGGGAAAUGCAGUCCAGUUCCAGAAUGUGGAGGAAUUUAGUCUCACAAUCACAGACAACAAAUAUUAUCUGAAAGUUGGGUUAUUGUUGUUUAUCAGCACAAUACAUAAAGAUUAAUGUUAGAAAUAUUCUAUUUAAGACUCUAGAAUAUCAUGAUUUAUGUAAAUUUACCUCAAUAAUAUGAAUGUUCAGGUUAAGAUUGUACAGUGAUAUUUAUUAUGCAAGUUUAGCUGAUUAAAAUUUAUGACUCUGCACUAAAAUAUUAUUUAAAUUGACAUCAUUAUUAUAAUAUUUAGGGUCAGACCCUACGGUAUUGAGAUUAAGAAAUCAAACAUUCUAUAAAAUGUAAAUACACUGAACUCAUUUGGAUAUAUUUAAGUGAGACUCUACAAUAUUAUUUGAUACAAAUCUAUCAAAAUCAAAAUUUUAAUAAUUUUCACGCCAAACAUUUACUGGACUGAUUUAAACAUUAAAAUCACUCCUUUCUAAUCCUCAGCUGUACGUUCAAACCUGAGGCCUUAAAUAGAAACACACAAGUAUCUGAUUGAAGGAACUUCUGCAGAGUCCUGGUUCCAGAACAUGAUGAUAGAAUUAUAGACAAACUUUAACAAAAGCUGCCUGAGAGUUUACAGGUUUUUAUGUUAGAUUUCUUCAGUAAUUUAAUGAGCGUUAUCAGCAAUAAUCAAGUGUUCAUUUGAUGAACUUCAUUUCCUAAAACAUCCAGAAUUGGAGCUCAUAUCUUUGGCAGCUGUAAAGUUUCUGCUCCUUCAAAGAUCACAACACAAUGAAUGAAUUCCUAAAACACUCAAUGCUGGAGAGCGUUUGUGAUGCUGAAGCAGUGACCAGUUUUUCUGUUUCUUCUCUGGAGAUGCACAAUGAGGGACGUCUGUAGAGACUGAGAAAGAGUCUCACCACAUCCUGACAUGAGGAAAAAGACUUUAUUGAAGACUACAAUGAGAAAAACUAUCAGACAGCAGAUGGCUGCAUUCAAGGUGAGCUCUGAACAUUUGAUCUGGAACAGGAAUUCAAUAACGGCAGCAUGAGCUUCAUUUCAGUCUGUAGCUGCUGAAUUCAUGGAUGAAUCAUCUGGCACUAGAGAAGAAGACCAUCAAACAUCCACGUCAGCUGAUGGAGGUCCAAGAGUCUCACCGAACAAACAACCUACAGAGUGAAGACCUCUAACCUGAUUGGACGGCCUCCUAUUCAGCCACAUGUGUGAACAAAUGCCUCUAAGUUGAUUUGUUUUCUAAAAUAAAUCUAGUUUGAGUCCUAA